This 56-nucleotide non-coding RNA is filed under the name unclassified sequences. The record is from Rfam.
UACCUUUGCGGCCGAAAAAAUUUGUACAUAAUAAUCAUUAAAUUAAUAUUGGAAUG